Molecule: long non-coding RNA, 577 nt
Filed under: Sorghum bicolor (sorghum)
Lineage: Eukaryota; Viridiplantae; Streptophyta; Magnoliopsida; Poales; Poaceae
Description: long non-coding RNA (SBIC_LNC004073)
Source: RNAcentral
ACAACAGUCCCCUCAGCUUGAAAAACACAUUUAUAGACUGUCCCAAAGCUCCCUUUACCAAGCAAAUUGGCUUCGGAGAAUCCAUUGGUUCCGUUUGAUAAUGCAUGGUAAGAAACUCUUUCAUACUGUUCCUCAACCAUUCGUGGUUUGAAUGCACCCUUCUGCUUUCUUCUUUGCUUCCUGUAGAUCAAGAGUGCAAUGACAAUAGCUAAUAGUAAUAGUGCAAAGGUUGUUGCUAGUGCUAUUCUAAGAUACUUAGACUUCCCUCUUCUGUUCUUUUUCACAGAAUCUGUCUUGCAUGGAACUAAAUGAAGCUGGGGUAUUCCUCCACAAAGCUUGUUAUUUCCGGUGAUCGACAGGUUAGCAAAAUUUCCGAAAAUACCUUCUUUUGGUACUUCCCCUUGCAGAUUGUUGAAGGAUAAAUCCAACAUCCACAAUGAUGUUAAAUUCUGUAGAACUGCAGGGAUUGGUCCUGAUAAAUUGUUGUGCGCCAGAUACAAUUGUUCCAGGCCACUGAUACUUCCAAUGGCAUCUGAAAUAUUACCGGACAACUCAUUCACUGACAGGUUGAGUGUAG